UAUUUUUUUUCCAUUACCACGAUCCAAAUAGGCUGCAGAGUCCAAACGCUCUCACUCUCCCACUCGCUCGCUCUCGCCAUCGCCGUCGCCGGAGUCUGCAGGGGCGCCGCACACCGCGGCUUUAUCUCCGGAGUGUCCGACCCCCGCCACGGCCACAUGUCCAAACGCUCGCCUCCGCCGCAGCCCGCUCACAUCCCGAUGGCCGAGCAGCGGUGGCGGCCGCCGUACCCGUACGCGUCCUCCGCCGCCGGCGGUGGCGGCGUCGACCGUCGCAGUCGCAGCGGCUUCUGCGCCGCCACGCGGACGUUCCACAGCCUCCGCUCCGUGGGACCUCUCCCGCCGGAGGAGCUCCCGCUGACGGUCGCCGCGUACGCGUUCUCGCUGCUGUCCUCGGCGCCGCCGCUCGUCGUCGCCGGCCGGGGCCCCGCGCUCGUCGACGCCGCCACGGGUAUUGCCGUCUCCUACCCGGCCUUCGUCGCGCGGGUCCGCUUCCUCGCCGGCGGCCUCUGGUGCUCCCUCGGGCUGCGUCCCGGGGACGUCGCGCUCGUCGUGAGCCCGUCCUGCCUCGACGUCGCCGUGCUCUACUUCGCGCUCAUGUCCAUCGGCGUCGUCGUGUCGCCCGCCAACCCGGCCUCCACCGCCGACGAGUACGCGCAUCAGGUCAGGCUAUCCAGGCCAGCCAUCGCGUUCGUGGCCCCCGAGGUGGCCGCGAGGUUGCCACGCCAUGUGAGCCGCGUCGUCAUCGGGUCGGAGGUGUUCGACAGGCUAGCCUCCGCCUCCGCCGCCGGCGGAUGGGCGGCGCCUCCGGCGGUGGCGAUGAAGCAGCCGAGCACCGCGGCGUUGCUGUACUCGUCGGGCACCACCGGGCGGGUCAAGGCGGUGGCGAUCACGCACCGCAACCUCAUCGCGCAGAUCAGCGCGUACAACGCGAUACGUGAGACGGUGGCGAGGGAGGCCGCCACCGACGCGGGCAAGGGCAAGCCGCCGCCGCCGUCGCCGUCGCCGCCGGCCGCCGUGACGCUGUUCCCCUUGCCGCUGUUCCACGUGAUGGGGUUCGGGCUGCUGACGCGCACCAUCUCGUCGGGGGAGACGGCCGUGGUGAUGCGCCGGUUCGACCUCGCCGCCGCGGCGCGCGCGGUGGAGCGGUACCGCGUGACGAAGCUGUCCGCCGCGCCGCCGGUGGUGGUGGCGCUGACCAAGUCCGACGAGGCGCGCCGCCGUGACCUCUCGUCGCUGGUCGCCAUCGUCGUCGGCGGCGCCCCGCUGGGCCGCGAGGUCUCCCAGCGCUUCGCCACCGUCUUCCCCAGCGUGCAGAUCGUCCAGAGUUACGGUUUGACGGAGUCGACCGGGCCGGUGGCCACCAUGGCUGGGCCGGAGGAGUCGGCGGCGUACGGAUCGGUGGGGAGGCUUGCGCCGCGCGUGCAGGCGAAGAUCGUCGACACGGCCACCGGCGAGGUGCUGGGGCCGGGGCGGCGCGGCGAGCUCUGGAUCCGAGGCCCAGUCGUCAUGAAAGGCUAUGUGGGUGAUCCUGAAGCAACUGCAGCAACGAUCACUCCAGACGGCUGGUUGAAAACUGGUGACCUCUGCUACUUCAACGAAGAUGGUUAUCUCUACGUUGUUGAUCGAUUGAAGGAGCUGAUAAAAUACAAGGGAUAUCAGGUACCACCAGCUGAGCUGGAGCACAUUCUACAGUCUCGUCCUGAAAUCGCUGAUGCUGCUGUUGUCCCAUUAAAAAACGGUGUUUCCUUCGUCAUGGAACAUGUAAGAUGUAUGCACGAUGCAGAUAUCCUGAUGAAGAAGCUGGGCAACUGCCAAUGGCUUUUGUAGUGAGGCAACCGGGUGCAUACCUUACCGAGCAACAAGUCAUGAACUGCGUCGCUAAACAUGUUGCGCCCUACAAGAAAGUGCGCCGUGUGGCUUUUGUCAAUGCAAUACCGAAAUCUCCUGCAGGGAAGAUCCUGAGACGAGAGCUUGUACUGCAGGCCAUGGCCUCCACCUCCAGACUUUGACAACAAAAAAAAUACUGUUAUAUUCUGGCAGAAGAGGCGUAUAUGAUUAUAUCUAAUAGGGGCAUGUUGUAUUUAGACUGGAGAUAUAUACCAUUCUUCCUAUGAUUUUCACAUUGAUUCAGCUGUUCUUAGCUGAUCAAUUUGUCAUACAUAUAGUUAGAUAUCCACCGUGUUUUCGUGUUAGUUAGAGGGUGUUUAGAUCUAGGGGUGUAAAGUUUUGGCGUGUCACAUCGGUUAUUAUAUAGAGUGUCGUAUGUGGUGUUCGGGCACUAAUAAAAAACUAAUUACAGUAUCCGUCAAUAAACUGCGAGACGAAUUUAUUAAGCCUAA
Oryza sativa Japonica Group (Japanese rice) is the source of this 2339-nucleotide RNA transcript. It is a transcript of the gene named 4-coumarate--CoA ligase-like 5, with no coding region annotated. Lineage: Eukaryota; Viridiplantae; Streptophyta; Magnoliopsida; Poales; Poaceae. The record is from RefSeq and is marked validated.